RNAcentral lists this long non-coding RNA (1004 nucleotides) under Homo sapiens (human). Its description in RNAcentral is "HSALNT0177265". Lineage: Eukaryota; Metazoa; Chordata; Mammalia; Primates; Hominidae. The record is from RNAcentral.
CUGGCAGUCCAACCUGGCAUUGUCUUUACACAAUCCUGCAUGCAACUUUGUGUUUACAAUAAUCAGGAGCAUUUCAUCUUUUAUUCUGUAGCAAUAGUUUCAAGGGGUCUCCUUACAUAAAGUCAAUUUUAUAACCUCACCUUUGGCUUUUAUUUUAUUUUAUUUUAUUUUUUUAUUUUUUAAAACCAGAACAUUUAUUGCAUGACUAAUUGUUGACAUUCUUAAGAUGAACUGGAUGCUGCAACAGCUGCCCUCUUGGGUUUAGGUGUUGUUCCUUCACGGAAUCCAUGCCUGAAUUUGCCACAGGUCGACUUCUGAAGGUGGUAGGCCUCAGAGCCACAGCAGCGGCACAACGUGUGUGUCUUAUUGCGAUGCUUUCCAAACGAUGAUGCUCCCUUCGUCAUCUCGCUUCUGCGGCCGAGACCAGAAAGUGGCUUUUUGUUUGUACACAAAAAUUUUCCAGGCACGGUGGUGCACACCUAUGGUCCCAGGCCAAGAUGGGAAGCAGGGGCCAGACAUGCCUCGUUAUACCCUCCUCCCUUUUGGACUUACUGAUAGAACACACUCUUAAGUCUGGAGACAGCAAGAAGGCAGCCUUUGGAAAGCCAGGAGGAGGGCCCUCACCAGGAACCAAAUCAGUCAGCACCUUGAUCUUGGACUUCCCAGCCUUCAGACUAUGAAAAAUAAAUUUCUGUUUAAGCCACCUAGUCUGUAGUAUUUUAGUACAGCAGCCUGAACUGACUAAUACAGUAUUUGUGAGGGCUCUGAUUUUUUCUAAGUGUUGGCAAGGAUGUGGAGCAAUUGGAAUCCUCAGACGCUGCUGGUGGAGAUGGGGAAUCGUGUGCCUGCUAUGGAAAACAGCGCGGUGGCUCCUCAAAAGUUAAACAUUGAAUUGCCAUGUGACCUAGCAAUUGUGUUCCCAGGUAUAUACCCAAAAGAAUUGAAAAUAAGCAUUCAAACAAAUACUUGUACACAAAUGUUUACAGCAGUGCCAUUCACAAUGG